Branchiostoma belcheri (Belcher's lancelet) is the source of this 359-nucleotide long non-coding RNA. RefSeq lists it as uncharacterized. The transcript is spliced from 4 exons. NCBI's taxonomy places the organism in Eukaryota, Metazoa, Chordata, Leptocardii, Amphioxiformes, Branchiostomatidae. The record is from RefSeq and is a predicted model, not a curated record.
AGAACAUUGAGACAAGGCUUCGGUGAUGAUUGCAUAUCGCAUUGCCCAUUAACUGACUCUCCACGCAAACCAACCAUGGGGACGUUUUUGUCCGUCUGAGACAGCCUUGAUAACUCCGAAAUGAUCGCAAGAUCUUUUUAUUCCUUUGUAUCUAACCCUGCCCUUUUUGUUGCAGAUGUGGCAGGAAAAAUGACAUUAACGAUGCUGCCGUUCAUUCAUGAGACUGAACAAGACACUGGCACAUAAAGCAGCUGCCCAGAAAAGGGAAAAUGGAUAUCAAGGCCUACCUUAUUCUGAAGGACAGUUAUCAGUUGUAUGUUCUAAGAGGCGAACAGUUAUAGGAUUUGUGGACUGGAAGU